RNAcentral lists this ribosomal RNA (427 nucleotides) under uncultured bacterium. Its description in RNAcentral is "partial 16S ribosomal RNA". It matches the Rfam family "Bacterial small subunit ribosomal RNA", at positions 355 to 774 of the family's 1533-position model. The record is from RNAcentral.
UGGGGAAUAUUGCACAAUGGGCGCAAGCCUGAUGCAGCCAUGCCGCGUGUAUGAAGAAGGCCUUCGGGUUGUAAAGUACUUUCAGCGAGGAGGAAGGCGGUAAGGUUAAUAACCUUAUCGAUUGACGUUACUCGCAGAAGAAGCACCGGCUAACUCCGUGCCAGCAGCCGCGGUAAUACGGAGGGUGCAAGCGUUAAUCGGAAUUACUGGGCGUAAAGCGCACGCAGGCGGUCUGUCAAGUCGGAUGUGAAAUCCCCGGGCUCAACCUGGGAACUGCAUUCGAAACUGGCAGGCUAGAGUCUUGUAGAGGGGGGUAGAAUUCCAGGUGUAGCGGUGAGAUGCGUAGAGAUCUGGAGGAAUACCGGUGGCGAAGGCGGCCCCCUGGACAAAGACUGACGCUCAGGUGCGAAAGCGUGGGGAGCAAACA